UACGUAGGGGGCGAGCGUUAUCCGGAUUUAUUGGGCGUAAAGCGUGCGUAGGCGGCUUAUUAAGUUUAAGAUUAAAGUCCGAGGCUCAACUUCGGUUCGUCUUAAAAACUGGUAGGCUUGAGUGUGGUAGAGGUAAAUGGAAUUUCUAGUGUAGCGGUGAAAUGCGUAGAUAUUAUAAGGAACACCAGUGGCGAAGGCGAUUUACUGGGCCACAACUGACGCUGAGGCACGAAAGCGUGGUAGCAAAUAG
RNAcentral lists this ribosomal RNA (250 nucleotides) under uncultured prokaryote. RNAcentral's name for it is "partial 16S ribosomal RNA". It matches the Rfam family "Bacterial small subunit ribosomal RNA", at positions 524 to 775 of the family's 1533-position model. The record is from RNAcentral.